Molecule: ribosomal RNA, 491 nt
Filed under: uncultured bacterium
Lineage: Bacteria
Description: partial 16S ribosomal RNA
Rfam family: Bacterial small subunit ribosomal RNA
Source: RNAcentral
GAUGAACGCUGGCUACAGGCUUAACACAUGCAAGUCGAGGGGCAACGACGUGGAAGCUUGCUUCCCCGGGCGUCGACCGGCGCACGGGUGAGUAACGCGUAUCCAACCUGCCUCUGACUGAGGGAUAACCCGUCGAAAGUCGGCCUAAUACCCCAUGGCAUCAUCUGCGAGCGUCCAACGACGUUUGACGUUUUCAUCGGUCAGAGAUGGGGAUGCGUUUGAUUAGCUGGUUGGCGGGGUAACGGCCCACCAAGGCGACGAUCAGUAGGGGUUCUGAGAGGAAGGUCCCCCACAUUGGAACUGAGACACGGUCCAAACUCCUACGGGAGGCAGCAGUGAGGAAUACUGGUCAAUGGGCGAGAGCCUGAACCAGCCAAGUAGCGUGCAGGAGGACGGCCCUAUGGGUUGUAAACUGCUGUUAUGCGGGGAUAAAGUGAGGGACGUGUCCUUCAUUGAAGGUACCGAAUGAAUAAGGACCGGCUAAUUCCGUG